GUUAUUGCGAGGAAGGAUAUGGACAGAAACGCACUGGUUAAAGUUGGUGCGAUGGCCAGCGUUACUGUGUGCGCGCUUUUCAGUGGAGUCGUGUUCGCUCAGUACGUUUUCACCAAAAAGCAAAGAGCCGGCAAGAAAACCAAAAUAAUCGAAAUGAUGCCUGAGUUUGAGAAAAAUACAGUUCACAUCAGAGACCCUGAGCGGGUAGAGCAGAUUAUCUGCUGUCUCAUUAAGGACGGAGCAUCAAAACUACAGAUCAUCACAGAUUUUGAUAUGACAUUAAGCAGAUUUGCUGUGAAUGGAAAACGCUGCCCAACAUGUCAUAAUAUUAUUGACAACUGCAAGCUUGUCACAGAAGAUUGUAGGAAAAAGCUGCUCCAGCUAAAGGAGACAUAUUACCCUAUAGAGAUAGACCCUCAUCUGACUAUGGAGGAGAAAUAUCCAUUUAUGGUGGAAUGGUAUUUAAAAUCACACACGUUACUGGUAGAACAGAGAUUGCAGAGGGCCAAACUCCCAGAGGUGGUGAGAGAAUCUGAUGUCUGUCUCAGGGAAGGAUAUGAGCAGUUUUUCGACCUGCUGCAAAAGCGCAGCGUUCCUGUCUUCAUCUUUUCAGCGGGUUUAGGAGACGUGCUGGAGGAAAUUAUAAGACAGGCUGGCAUCUACCACCCUAAUGUCAAAGUUGUGUCUAAUUUCAUGGACUUUGAUGACAAUGGAGUUCUAAAAGGCUUUAAAGGAGAGCUGAUCCAUGUUUAUAACAAGCAUGAUGGUGCCCUGAGAAACACAGAAUAUUUCAAACAACUGAAGGACAAUGGGAACAUUAUUUUGCUUGGAGACUCACUCGGUGAUCUCAAUAUGGCAGAUGGUGUGCCCAAUGUGGAGAAUAUCCUUAAGAUCGGCUUUCUCAAUGAUAAGGUAGAUGAACUAUUGGAAAAAUACAUGGACUCUUAUGAUAUUGUAUUGGCGAGAGAUGAAACACUCGAAGUGCCUAACUCCAUUUUACAGAAGAUCUUAUAAAUGACAUCAUACGACACAAGACUAGGAAAAGACUAAUAUAUAUAUAUAUAUAUAUAUAUAAUAUAAAUAUAUAAAAAUAUAUGUUUUUACCAGUACUGAGAUCAAGCUCCAUCUGUUUUUACUAUUUUUCACAUGCUCUAAGCUAUACAUUCUCCAGCCCUAUUUUUAAAGUCAUGACUCUUGCUCACAAUGAGCUACUUCAAUUAACACCCUGCUGUUGUGGUCUCUGGGAUGCAAGUAAGCAAAUACUUAAAGAACACAAUUUUUAUAAUGUUAAAAUUAUUGUUUGAGGUAUUUUUGAUAUAUGGGAACAUUUGUAUUUAGUGUUUGCAGUAGAAAUAGAGAUUGUACACUUUAAAAAAAAACUCAACUACCGUACAGUAUACCAGUAACGACCAUUCUUACAAUCAUGUGCACUUUGAAGAGCUGUUACAGUUCUCAUUGCAUUUCUAUUUAAGUAUGUGUGCUGCAUGCAUAG
Paramisgurnus dabryanus is the source of this 1492-nucleotide RNA transcript. It is a transcript of the gene named 5'-nucleotidase, cytosolic IIIA, with no coding region annotated. The record is from RefSeq and is a predicted model, not a curated record. Lineage: Eukaryota; Metazoa; Chordata; Actinopteri; Cypriniformes; Cobitidae.